Mesoplodon densirostris (Blainville's beaked whale) is the source of this 1260-nucleotide non-coding RNA. Lineage: Eukaryota; Metazoa; Chordata; Mammalia; Artiodactyla; Ziphiidae. The record is from the annotation of a RefSeq genome assembly.
ACAUCUUUGUCUGGUUUUGGUAUCAAGGUGAUGGUGGCCUCAGCCCCCACCACGGCCCCGGCAGUCUACCCUCUGCCUCCCAGCUGUGGGGACACACCUAGUUCCACAGUGACCGUGGGCUGCCUGGUCUCGAGCUACUUCCCUGAGCCAGUGACCGUGACCUGGAACCCGGGCGCCCUAUCCAGCGGCGUGCACACUUUCCCAUCUGUCCGAGGGUCCUCGGGGCUGUACUCUCUCAGCAGCACUGUGACCGUGCCUGCCAGCACCUUGUCCGGCAAGACCUUCACCUGCAACGUAGCCCACCCGGCCAGCAGCACCAAGGUGAACAAGAGCAUCGGUGAGAGGACGGGCUGCAGGGAGGGUUGUCCCAGAUGCCCACAUAAGUCAGCCGCCCCUCAGCUCCCAGGAGGACCGUCCGUCUUCAUCUUCCACCCGAAACUCAAGGACACCCUCACAAUAUCCCGAACACCGGAAGUCUCCUGCAUGGUGGUGGACGUGAGCAAGGAGGACCCCGAUAUCCAGUUCUCGUGGUACGUGGACGCUGUAGAGGUGCACACGGCCAAGACGAAGCUAAGGGAGGAGCAGUUCAACAGCACCUACCGUGUGGUCAGCGCCCUGCCCAUCCAACACCAGGACUGGCUGAAGGGAAAGGAGUUCAAGUGCAAGGUCAACAACAAAGGCCUCCCGGCCCCCAUCGUGAGGAGCAUCUCCAAGGCCAAAGGGCAGCCCCAGGAGCCACAGGUGUACGUACUGGCCCCACCGCAGGAGGAGCUGGCCAAGACCUCGGUCAGCUUAACCUGCAUGGUCACCGCCUUCUACCCGGGCGACAUCGACGUGGAGUGGCAGAAAAACGGGCAGCCAGAGUCAGAGGGCAAGUACGGCACGACCCCACCCCAGCUGGACGCCGACGGGUCCUUCUUCCUGUACAGCAAGCUCAGGGUGGACAAGAAGAGCUGGCAGCAGGGAGACACCUACACGUGUGUAGUUUUGCACGAGGCUCUACACAAUCACAACACGCAGAAGUCCAUCUCCAAGUCUUCGGAACUGCUCCUAGAGGAGGAGGCCUGUGCUGACGCCCAGGACAGGGAGCUGGACGGGCUGUGGACAACCAUCUCCAUCUUCAUCACCCUCUUCCUGCUCAGCGUGUGCUACAGCGCCACCGUGACCCUCUUCAAGGUGAAGUGGAUCUUCUCAUCGGUGGUGGAGCUGAAGCGGACAAUCGUCCCCGACUACAGAAACAUGAUCGGCCAGGGCGCCUAG